Dromaius novaehollandiae (emu) is the source of this 3721-nucleotide long non-coding RNA. RefSeq lists it as uncharacterized. The record is from RefSeq and is a predicted model, not a curated record. NCBI's taxonomy places the organism in Eukaryota, Metazoa, Chordata, Aves, Casuariiformes, Dromaiidae. The transcript is spliced from 24 exons.
UCUCCCUUCAGCUUUCAGGAAGCUGCUGGCAGGAGAGUGGGGGUGCCUCUGCUGCCCUGGCAGCCCCAGCUGUCCCUGAAGGGGCUGAUGGCCAGGCCCCCUGCCCAGUUCCUGCAGGCCCACAGCUGCGGGCCCUGGGGCUGGGAUGAAUGCCAGGGGGAGCUGGGUGGCAGGACGAGCCCCAGGUGGGGCUGAGGGCAAGGGCGGGCAUGCGCUGGGGCUGCAGCCGCAUUUGGGGGAAGCUUGCAUUGAGGCCGGACCUGGACAAUGGAGCUGCCGCGGAGCACCGCCCACUGGGACCGGCCCGGCGGCCGCCCCGCGGAGGAGGUUAUGAAUAGGCAUGACUUCCUGAGAACUGUUCUGAGCAUGCAGUGUUGCAGGUCACGACUGCCUGGGCAGCGAUCCCCAACUUGUCUGCCGAGACUACGCGACAGCUCACAGCUGCCUGUGCAAUGAAAGCAAAGGCCAACUUCUCAGAGGGAAGAGGCAGGCUCCAAGCAGGAGGAUUAUGGCAGGGACCCAGCUUCGUCGCUCGGCUCUUUGAAGAUGGUGACGCUCGAAGAAUUGUUUGUCCCUCACCUGGACUGUAGAGAAAAGGACAGAACAGGGGUCUCGGGAAAACAUUUCCAUCCACGUUUCCACUCUACGUGGUGCUUGUGUGCCUUAUGUCCAGUAAUGUGGAUGCAUUAUGCAGAGUUACAGAAGAGUCUAGACUUUAUGUGAAGAGUGUGAAGAGAGAAGCGAGCAUUCUCCCUGCCUGGAAGUGCAGUAUGAUGAGAAAGGAAGUCACGUCUUUGGAAACCCAGUGCAACCCCUCAGUGCUGAGAGAGGAAAAAAGCUGCUGGACUUCUCAGGACCAGCAGGAACCAAUUUGCAGUGUCGCCCGGCAGCUCUUUUUUUACGUCUGUGCCUGCGAACCCACUGCCAUCUGCUCUUUUGUGGCUCUGCUUCCGACUCCUGCUGUGGCUUCUAGGGCCGUCCGCUUUGCUUUCUCAGGCACUGUGCGGGCCUUUUCCAGGCAUGCCUGAGGAUUUGAGAUGAGGUAGAAUGGGUGCUAUGGGAUUACUUUCAGUCAGGAUGUGGGAGUAUCGCUUUGGUGAUGAAGAUGAGCGAAGGAAGAUUAGAGAGGAUGUGGCUGCCAUUGAGUGAUGCCUCUUAAGGAUCAAAAGUGACCUGACCGCCCCCCCCCCCCGCCCCCAGCCCUGGAAAAGCUAAGAUGCAGAGCAGUGUUCCGAGUGGGCCCAAGGGAGCUGGAAGGAAGGGGCAUGCCCCAAGAAGGCGUGGAGCCUUGCGGGGAGCAGGUCGCUCGCAUCCAGGAGGAGCAGGGUGAGGUGUGUGGCGGACCUCGGCGUGGGGAGCCGUAGCCCGGCAGUCGGGACGGGAGAGCGGAGCAGGCAUUGCAGGAAGUUUUGGAGAGGAGAAGCUGAGCGGCAACGAGGAGCCCGAGCAGGUACGGUGCGGGCCUUUCCCAGGCGUGGCUGAGGAUUUGAGGUGAAGUAGAAUGGAUGCCACGGGCAGCCUCACAGCCACAAUGCUGGAGCGUGGCUUUGGCACGGUACAGGUGAUAAAGGCAACUGCGCUGACUGAAGGGAGAUUAGCACGGAUGCGGCUGCCAUUGAGGAUGGCUCUUGAGGACCGAUGGUGAUGCCCAGCAUUUGAACAAUGCUGAGCAGUGUUCCGAGUGGGCCCAAGGGAGCUGGAAGGAAGAAAGGGGCAUGCCCCAAGAAGGCGUGGAGCCUUGUGGGGAACAGGUCGCUCACAUCCAGGAGGAGCAGGGUGAGGUGUAUGGUGGACCUCGGUGUGGGGAGCCAUAGCAGUUGGGAUGGGAGAGCGGAGCAGGAAAAGGUUUUGCGGGAAGUUGUGGAGAGAAGCAGCUGAGUGCUGAGAAGAGCCUGAGCAGGUCUGCUGUGGGCCUUUCCCAGGCGUGGCUGAGACUUUCAGGCGCCACGGGCUUCCUCCCCAGGCAGGAUGUUGGCGUUUGGAGUUGUUGCGGUGCAGGUGAUGAAGGCAAAUGUGGUGAGCAAAGGAAGAUCAGUGUGGAUGCGGCUGCUGCAGAGGAUGGCUCUUGAGGAUCGGUGACCUACAGCACUGCCAAAGUUAAGUUGAGGGGCAAAGGGUGUUGGGGCAUCCUCAGUUUCUGUGUGUGUGUGUGUGCGUGCUGAUGUUCAGUGUAGAGUGGAGGGUUGUUCUGGAUGAGUGGUGUGUGUGAGGCAGAGGCAGUGGGGUGUGCAUGGCAGAAAGCGAGGGUGGGUGUCAGGCAGGGCAGCUCCAGCCUGUGUCUGUGUUGUUGUGUAGUUUAUGUGGUGUGUGUUGUAGCUGUGCUAUCUUUUGCUCAGGUCUUGAUGUUGCUCUUGCUCUUUGUGCUCAAAGAGCACAGCCUAUGCUCUGCAGCGGUAGCGUGGCAGGCAUCCAUUGUCUUUUGCCUGGCCAGACUCAUCAGCAUUGCUCCAAUGGACUACAUCUUGUUCUGCACAGGCAGCUGAAAGGGGCAGUCUGUCACUGUGACUCUGCAUUGUGGCCGUUUGCAGUGUAGUCAUAGUCGCGGCCACCGUCGAGGCCUCAUCGGCCGCACCUCUUCCGGGGCCGCUCUUGUUUUGCGUCUCGCUGGCGCCCUUUCAGGGUUUCCUUCCCUGCGUCAUCAUGGCCUCGGGUCUUUCUCGCCGGCCUCCUCUGCGUCAGUCUUCCGGGCUUUGCCGGUCCCUUUCCAUCCUGGGCAUUGAUGUUUGACUCUUUUCUGGGCUCGUCCAGAGCCUAGGCCCUACGAUGCCACCACUGUGUGGCUCUUCCUGGCCAGUAGUGUCUUAUGUGUGGGAAUAGGUUUUUUUUGUGUAGGGCUGUCCUCUGUGUUUGUGUCUGCUGUUUGUUUGUCUGUGUGUUUUUGGGGCUGGAGCUGCCUUGCCUGUGGGUGUUAGCCAUGGUGGUGUGUGGAGUGUGUCCGUGAUGGACUGGAGUGGUGGUGUUGCAGGCAUUGUCUGAGUGUGUGAUUUCUCUCUGUGCUUGCAGGUUUUGCGGGAAGUUGUGGAGAGAAGCAGCUGAGUGCUGAGAAGAGCCUGAGCAGGUCUGCUGUGGGCCUUUCCCAGGCGUGGCUGAGACUUUCAGGUGCCACGGGCUUCCUCCCCAGGCAUUGGAGUUGUUGUGGUGCAGGUGAUGAAGGCAAAUGUGGUGAGCAAAGGAAGAUCAGUGUGGAUGUGGCUGCUGCUGAGGAUGGCUCUUGAGGACCGGUGACCUACAGCACUGCCACAGUUAAGUUGAGGGGCAAAGGGUGUUGGGGCAUCCUCAGUUUCUGUGUAUGUGUGUGUGCGUGGUGAUGUUCAGUGUAGAGUGGAGGGUUGUUCUGGAUGAGUGGUGUGUGUGAGGCAGAGGCAGUGGGGUGUGCAUGGCAGAAAGCGAGGGUGGAUGUCAGGCAGGGCAGCUCCAGCCUGUGUCUGUGUUGUUGUGUAGUCUAUGUGGUGUGUGUUGUAGCUGUGCUAUCUUUUGCUCAGGUCUUGAUGUUGCUCUUGCUCUUUGUGCUCAAGGAGCACAGCCUAUGCUCUGCAGCAGUAGUGUGGCAGGCAUCCAUUGUCUUUUGCCUGGCCAGACUCAUCAGCAUUGCUCCAAUGGACUACGUCUUGUUCUGCAUAGGCAGCUGAAAGGGGUGGUCUGUGACUCUGACUGUGCAUCGUGGCCGUUUGCGGUCCGUCAUAGUCGUGGCCACCGUUGAGGCCUCAUUGGCCACACCUCU